RNAcentral lists this long non-coding RNA (3130 nucleotides) under Zostera marina. Its description in RNAcentral is "long non-coding RNA (ZMAR_LNC002752)". Lineage: Eukaryota; Viridiplantae; Streptophyta; Magnoliopsida; Alismatales; Zosteraceae. The record is from RNAcentral.
UUCAACAAAACUCACGAUUUCCCCCAAUCUCUCCUCCUCCCAUCCACCUCACGAUCAUCUCAGGAAGCCGGACUCCGGGAAUCUCUUCUCCAUUUCUCCCUCCGUUGCUAUUUGUUGGAUUCUCUCAUUUUUCUGGUAUUUAUUUGUUGAAUUGUUGAUCUUGUUUGUUGUUUCUACAUAUUAUUUGGGUCUGAUGGUGAUGGAUAUGAAUAUAUGAUACGAUGGUGAAAUUCUGAUGGAGUUUAUUGAUGUUUGAUUUAGUUAGUUGAUUAGUCCUCAUAUGAAGUUAGGUUAUCCGGUCUGCAUAUGAAGUUAGAACUCACAUGUUAAUGUUCUGUUUUUGAAACUCAAAUCCCUAAAAAAAUUCCAAGGAUGUGAAUUUAAUGAUUUUAUAUUGAUUAGAUGUGUUGUUAAACAAAUGGAGAGUACAAAAAAAAUAAAACUUACAGAUAUGCCAAAUUGUCAAAUUCUCCAAUGCUGGAUCCUGGAUGGAAUCAUACCAGACAUUCUAGUGUUUCUUAAAAUCCUAUUAUCAUUCAAACACAGCUAAAAUAUAAGUAUUAUGUAAAUCAAAAAAAUAUAGAUAGAUCAUAUAUAGAUAAAUCUUUCUUACAAUGUACCCAGAGACUAAAUAUUCUUGAUAAAAUUUAAAUAUGAGGUUUCACCUACAUAUCACCCAAUCUCCUGCAGAUGUCUAUUUUUUUUAUACAGAUGCUUCUGAAUUUUUUUAGGUUGACUACGCUUGCCGCUUGCGUGUUAAUUAGGGAUUUGACAUUUCAUUUGUCGGAAGCUUAAAAAGAUCUUCAAUACUAAGGUAACAAGGUUCUAUUACUUUUUAUUUUUAGAAUCGAUAGAUUUAUAAUUUUAUGCAUUAUUUCUUAUAUAAUUUUAUAUUUCGAUUUAAGAAUGUAGGAUUGUAUUCUUAGAUUUAAGGUAAAUCUUAUUUCUUAAAUUACAGAUGGAAAAAUAUUUUAAAAAGACAACUCCUUCUCCACAACCACAAGAAAAUAUUUCAGAAACAAGUAAAAGAAAACGAUUAUCUAUUAUUCCUAAACCAUUAGCUUCUGAUGAUCUUCCUUCUGAUCCAGCAUUAAGAAAGAAGAUGUCAAUGUAUAAUAUCAAUGAGAUUGAUGAUAUUAGAAGGAAGUAAAUUCAAAAAGGUUCUUGUCAACCAAAAACACACUUAUUUUCGCAAACUUGGUGUUAGGGGCUUAUAAGUAGGUGUUAGGGGAAGGUAUACAAAUGUGAAUCCACGUCUCCAAAUGAUGUGUUGUCUUGUCUUCAUUUGACUGGUGACAUCUGCAGUUAAAUCAUCAUUCUUUUUUGGGUUGACAUCUGUGUUAAAAAAAGUAACGACAGCUUUUAUCCAUACUAUGAAAAACCGUGUCAUCCUUGGUUUGAUGAGCUUGGGAAGAACCUUUGGAAUAAAAACCACUGCAAAGUGCGAACCUAGAUUUUCAUUCUCACUUACUCGUCCAAUUGUAUUUCUCUAUUUUCACCCACACAACAAAUAAAACAAACAUGGGGAACAUAAAGAUUGAGUUGAGAAUCAGGCAUCGUCUAAAGGCAUGUAUGAUUUGUAUUGUAAGCUAUUUUAUUAUUUUGAACACAUUUAGUACAUCCGUCUUUUUCCUCUAAUCUUCUCCUUCACUGAAACCCCACUCCUGCUAAUACUCAAUGGUGAUACAGUAUCCCGAAUCUGGUCAAAAUGAAUCUAUUUCAAGGUUUGGUUUGUUUAAUAACCGAACCGAACCCGAACCGAACCCGAACCAAACCCAAAACGAACCGAAUAGUUCGCCGCAUACCGAACUUUUGUUGCAACGCUACUCCCAAAAGACUUUCGAAUACAGAAUUUUCUCAUGUUGCAUCUCUGAAGAGGAAGCAAUUGCCGACAUCUUCUAAUGACAUACUAUUUGAAGUCGUUGACCUGUCCCGGUAAUUAUUAUUUAUUUUAAUGGGAGUGUACAUCAAGUGCACACAAAAAAUCACUACAAAAAACCAGCGAUAUUCUGGCGACAAAUGCCAGUAAAAUGCGUCCUGGUGGCCAAGCCGACGGUAUUUCAUCGCCGGAAAUAAUGUCGCAGAAUUGUAAUUUACUGACGGUAAGGCUACCGGCAAUCAAUUGUGGAUUCCGUUUUUAACAGAAAUGGUCCCGACGGUUAGGCCGCUGGUCAAUAUUUCCCGGCAGAAAAAAAAUUCCCCGAGAAAAAAAUUCUGGCGGCCAAGCCGCUGGUUCUCAAUGGAAUUUUUUAAUUGUAUUUUUUUUUAUUAAUUUUUUUUAUUUGAAAUAUUAUUUUAUUUAAAUAAUGAAAUGUAAUAGAAAUAUAUUUAUAUAAUUGAAAUUGUAUGAAAUUAAUAAAUUGAAAUUGAAAUUGAAAAUGAUGUUCGAUAUUGAAAGUAUGACAGAAAUUAAAUUUGGUAAUUACAAUUUUAAUUUAUAUUUUUUGCUUUUUUUUUUUUAGUUCUGACCACCUUUCGUAAUGCCUCUGUUAUGAAAAUAAUUGAUCUUCCUUCACGCGGUUGUGAAGUAGUGUGCUCCUCUUGUGGCAUUGUAUGUGGAAGAGGCGUAGUUUCGUACAGUUCUACUUGAGGUGCUUUAGAAGUCGAGAUUUCAGAAGAAUUUAUGUUGAACCCUCCCGCGGGUUGCGCCGUAGUUUCGUUGAAGAAUGUGGGAAAUUCUGGUAAGCGCAUGUUCGGAUUUUGAGCGAGUAUUGCCGCAUUGUAUUGUUGUAAGAACUUCAUUUGACGAGCCAUCGCUUCAUUCUGACGAGCCAUCGCUUCAUUCUGACUAGCCAUUGCCCUCUCGACUGUCUCGUUAACCUUAUUAUCAACCUCAUCUUCGGCCAUAGAACCUUUUCCUUUAUCUGUUGAAAAGUUCCCCACAUUCAUCCGAUGGGUUGUCUUCUUGCUCAAUGAAGAACCAGUUGUUCCUAAUAAUCUAGUUUUCUUCGAGCUUCUAUCGAUAUGUUCGGUUAUAGCAAAGUUGAUGAGAGCCUAAUUAAAUAAAAAAUGAUGAAAAAAAUGUAAAAUACUUUAAUUAAUUAUAUGGAAAAAAAUGAAAUACCAUGACCGUUAUAUUUUCUUGUUCAACCUUAUUUUUCGUUUCUUCACUUUCUAUCCAUUGAAUCGC